RNAcentral lists this ribosomal RNA (294 nucleotides) under uncultured prokaryote. RNAcentral's name for it is "partial 16S ribosomal RNA". It matches the Rfam family "Bacterial small subunit ribosomal RNA", at positions 355 to 640 of the family's 1533-position model. The record is from RNAcentral.
UGAGGAAUUUUGCGCAAUGGGAGCAAUCCUGACGCAGCAACGCCGCGUGGGUGAUGAAGGCCUUCGGGUCGUAAAGCCCUGUCAGGUGGGAAGAAUGUCCCGGGACUGAACAGGUUCCGGGCGUGACGGUACCACCAGAGGAAGCACCGGCUAACUCCGUGCCAGCAGCCGCGGUAAUACGGAGGGUGCAAGCGUUAUUCGGAAUUACUGGGCGUAAAGCGCGUGUAGGCGGUCCUGCAAGGCUGAUGUGAAAGCCCCGGGCUUAACCCGGGAAGGGCAUUGGAAACUGUGGGA